GGCGAACGGGUGAGUAACACGUGGGUGAUCUGCCCUGCACUCUGGGAUAAGCCUGGGAAACUGGGUCUAAUACCGGAUAGGACCAUGCUUUAGUGUGUGUGGUGGAAAGUUUUUCGGUGUAGGAUGAGCCCGCGGCCUAUCAGCUUGUUGGUGGGGUAAUGGCCUACCAAGGCGGCGACGGGUAGCCGGACUGAGAGGUUGGUCGGCCACAUCGGGACUGAGAUACGGCCCAG
This 233-nucleotide ribosomal RNA is filed under the name uncultured Actinomycetales bacterium. RNAcentral's name for it is "partial 16S ribosomal RNA". It matches the Rfam family "Bacterial small subunit ribosomal RNA", at positions 97 to 334 of the family's 1533-position model. Lineage: Bacteria; Bacillati; Actinomycetota; Actinomycetes; Actinomycetales. The record is from RNAcentral.